Molecule: transfer RNA, 72 nt
Organism: Ovis aries (sheep)
Lineage: Eukaryota; Metazoa; Chordata; Mammalia; Artiodactyla; Bovidae
Rfam family: tRNA
About the family: Transfer RNA (tRNA) molecules are approximately 80 nucleotides in length. Their secondary structure includes four short double-helical elements and three loops (D, anti-codon, and T loops).
Source: Rfam
UCCCUGGUGGUUCAACUGGUAUAGAAUCUGCCUGCAAUGCAGGAGACCUGGGUUAUAUUCCUGGCUUGGGAA